CCUACGGGGGGCAGCAGUGAGGAAUAUUGGUCAAUGGACGAGAGUCUGAACCAGCCAAGUAGCGUGAAGGAUGACUGCCCUAUGGGUUGUAAACUUCUUUUAUAUGGGAAUAAAACGUUCCACGUGUGGGAUUUUGUAUGUACCAUAUGAAUAAGGAUCGGCUAACUCCGUGCCAGCAGCCGCGGUAAUACGGAGGAUCCGAGCGUUAUCCGGAUUUAUUGGGUUUAAAGGGAGCGUAGGUGGAUUGUUAAGUCAGUUGUGAAAGUUUGCGACUCAACCGUAAAAUUGCAGUUGAAACUGGCAGUCUUGAGUACAGUAGAGGUGGGCGGAAUUCGUGGUGUAGCGGUGAAAUGCUUAGAUAUCACGAAGAACUCCGAUUGCGAAGGCAGUUCACUGGACUGCAACUGACACUGAGGCUCGAAAGUGUGGGUAUCAAACAGGAUUAGAUACCCAGUAGUC
Molecule: ribosomal RNA, 459 nt
Filed under: uncultured bacterium
Lineage: Bacteria
Description: partial 16S ribosomal RNA
Rfam family: Bacterial small subunit ribosomal RNA
Source: RNAcentral